UGGGGAAUCUUAGACAAUGGGGGCAACCCUGAUCUAGCCAUGCCGCGUGAGUGAUGAAGGCCUUAGGGUUGUAAAGCUCUUUCAGUGGGGAAGAUAAUGACGGUACCCACAGAAGAAGCCCCGGCUAACUCCGUGCCAGCAGCCGCGGUAAUACGGAGGGGGCUAGCGUUGUUCGGAAUUACUGGGCGUAAAGCGCGCGUAGGCGGACUGGAAAGUCAGAGGUGAAAUCCCAGGGCUCAACCUUGGAACUGCCUUUGAAACUAUCAGUCUGGAGUUCGAGAGAGGUGAGUGGAAUUCCGAGUGUAGAGGUGAAAUUCGUAGAUAUUCGGAGGAACACCAGUGGCGAAGGCGGCUCACUGGCUCGAUACUGACGCUGAGGUGCGAAAGCGUGGGGAGCAAACAGG
This 404-nucleotide ribosomal RNA is filed under the name uncultured Paracoccus sp. Its description in RNAcentral is "bacterial SSU rRNA". It matches the Rfam family "Bacterial small subunit ribosomal RNA", at positions 355 to 776 of the family's 1533-position model. Lineage: Bacteria; Pseudomonadati; Pseudomonadota; Alphaproteobacteria; Rhodobacterales; Paracoccaceae. The record is from RNAcentral.